CUAAGGCUCCAGAGGAAGCCACGGCUAACUCUGUGCCAGCAGCCGCGGUAAUACAGAGGCGGCAAGCGCUGUUCGGAAUUAUUGGGCGUAAAGAGCACGUAGGUGGUUCUGUAAGUCAGAUGUGAAAGCCUUCUGUUCAAAGGAAGAACGGCAUCUGAAACUACAGAUCUUGAGUGUAGGAGGGGAGAGUGGAACUUCUGGUGGAGCGGUGAAAUGCGUAGAUAUCAGAAGGAACGUCGGCGGCGAAAGCGACUCUCUGGCCUAUUACUGACACUGAGUGUGCGAAAGUUAGGGGAGCAAACGGGAUUAGAUACCCCGGUAGUCCUAACUGUAAA
Molecule: ribosomal RNA, 335 nt
Filed under: uncultured Planctomycetales bacterium
Lineage: Bacteria; Pseudomonadati; Planctomycetota; Planctomycetia; Planctomycetales
Description: bacterial SSU rRNA
Rfam family: Bacterial small subunit ribosomal RNA
Source: RNAcentral